ACUGACACUUCCGUCGCUCAAUAUUUCUGCUGAUUUUAAAGCGACGUUGAAGGUUGUCCACUCUGACAUUCUCUCCUUGUUGGCCAAAAAUGUUGAACUGAAGGCCAGGAGUACUCAAUAUCUUCGUGCUGCAUCUGAAAGAGAGACUUUGCUUCUAGAGAUUAACAAAGUCGAAGACGAAUUGAAAGAAAUCUCUUCUGAAGUUAUGAUCGAAGACUCUCUGAUCACAAGUUUGGCUGCAAAGAUGAAAGAGUUUCAAGCAAAAAUGGAUGAUUGUAGGGCGAGAAUGGCUGCUAAAAAGCGUAAUGUUUCCCAAGGAAUUGAGUGAACCAAGUCUUUAGUUGAGCAGUAUAAAAAGCUGGAGGUUGAUGACGAUUUUAUAGCUGAAUUAAA
This 393-nucleotide long non-coding RNA is filed under the name Olea europaea (common olive). Its description in RNAcentral is "long non-coding RNA (OEUR_LNC002982)". The record is from RNAcentral. Lineage: Eukaryota; Viridiplantae; Streptophyta; Magnoliopsida; Lamiales; Oleaceae.